UUUAAUUCUUCCAUAGGAUGUGAUACAUUUUCUGCAAGAUUCUCACACAUUUUCCUGGAGUUUUUUUUUUCCCCCAUCUCCAAGGUCUGAUGACCCCGGGAUUCAAACCAAAAGAAGGAUGAGAAGAAGACCCCACAGAUGAGGCCCAGCUCCAGCAGACACGUGAAGACGAGGAACCGAGCCCACCGGAGACGACCUUAGAGACGCCAACCAGCCUGCGAUGAGACGACAGGACAACUGUACAAGGAACAGAAUGCACUGGGAUGGAACAUCGAGGAGAAAUAAGUCAUUUUGAAGAAAAGAUGAUGGGAAACAUGUCCAGGACCAGUGCAUGAGAUGUGAGACCAGUCAACUAAUACAAAAGCUCUCUCUCCAAGACACCUGAUAAAAUGUAGAAUCAGAUCAAGACAAGAAACCGGAUAAGGAGCAGCCCCAGCAUGUGAACUCAGACUACGGAAGAGGGGAUGCUUAUUAUAGCAACAUAAAAGGAGGAAGUCGGAGCACAAAGAGAAAACCACACAGAGACACAGAGAGAACAUGGACAGAAAGAACCAGAUGAGCAGCAGAAGACAAAGAAACAGUUCGAGGAGCCUCAGGACGAUCAACAACAGAAGAAAGCUGUCAGAGAACAGGAAGAAGAUGACCAACAGCAUCAACCAGAGAAGAAGAAGAGAAGCUCCAGAUUACUCCAAAGGUAUCCCUGGAGCUGGCCUCACCGACCUGCAAAGACUUCAUGCUCCUUCCUUCCUCUGUACCCUCAUCCCAAAUGGAGGUUUUUUUUCAACUUCCUGGCAACAGGAAGUUUUUUUCCUCCACAUUGCUACCAAAUGCUUAAUCUGAUCAAACUACAAUAAGAGAUGGAGGUUUUUUUCAACUUCCUGGCAACAGGAAGUUUUUUUCCUCCACACUGCUACCAAAUGCUCGAUCUGAUCAAACUUCAAUAAGAGAGACUAAAAUAAAAAGUCAAAACAA
Molecule: long non-coding RNA, 972 nt
Organism: Acanthochromis polyacanthus (spiny chromis)
Lineage: Eukaryota; Metazoa; Chordata; Actinopteri; Pomacentridae
Exons: 6
Source: RefSeq, a predicted model, not a curated record